RNAcentral lists this long non-coding RNA (38997 nucleotides) under Cucumis sativus (cucumber). RNAcentral's name for it is "long non-coding RNA (CSAT_LNC000333)". Lineage: Eukaryota; Viridiplantae; Streptophyta; Magnoliopsida; Cucurbitales; Cucurbitaceae. The record is from RNAcentral.
UAAUUUCUAAAACUUUACCGACGAAUUAAAAUUUCGUCGAAAUAAACACGAUUAUGCCCAUAAAAUGGUGCGCCAGGAUAAAAAGUGUCAAAAUUAUCAAAAAAGCAUUGUAGUAGUGGUCAAUUAAUUUCGUGUUGAUUGAAGUAUUUUUUGUAUUUUCAUUCUUGGAUUUUUUUUCUUUUUCAAAAUUAUUGUGUAAAUAUUUUGUCAGUUUAUUAUAUUUUUUUUAAAAAAAAACCGUUGAUUAAAUGAUACAUUGAUUGAUAAUUUUAAUUAAAUACCUUAUAAUAACUGAAAAGUUAAAAUAUUAUUUACAUUCCUACUUUCACGCUUUUUGUAUUUAGGUAUUUAAACUUUCAAAUGGCCAAAUACAGGUCGUGUUCUUUUAACAAAACUUAAAAAUGAUCCAUUUCUUUAAAUUAAACUUAAAAUUGGGUGAGUGCCAAAAAGGAAAAUAUCAUGAUCAUAUCAUACUAUCUUCAAAUGUUGAUUACACAAAUAACCAUAUUUUUUAGAAUACUCUACCAUCUACCAAUCUUAAAUUUACACUAUUAUCUUUUAAGAUAAACUUUAAUUAAAUUUUUUUAAAAAUAAAUAAAUAAAUUUUCAAAAAAUGAAUCGUUCAGUUUGGAUUCGAGAAUGUUGAAGAAAAUUAUUUAUUUUGUUUGAAAAGAGAAAAUUUUGAGACAAUGGUAUUUUUACUAGUAUAGGCUUUUGUCUAUGAAUGUGUUAAUGAAAAAUUAGAAGAUAACGAGAUCAAUUAUGGAAUUUACUUCGAAGUCCUAUGAAAUCCUGGAAAAUUUGACCAUUUUGGUCAAUAAAGUUAAAAACAGAAUUUGAAAUCAUUUUGAAUUUUAAAAUCAAUCUCUUUCAUGUAAGUGAUGUUUUAUUAAGGAGUCAGGGGACACGUACCCCUCACAUUAUCAGAUUUUGUAUUUUAAUAUUAAUUUUGAAGUAUUAGAUUAUAAUAUAUAUUAAAUUUAGCUUCAUAUUGCCUAUAUUUUGCUUCAGUGGUUGUGCCCCUGAGUUUAAAUCUCAUCUUCUACAAUUAUUUUUACGAAAUAGUCUUUGUUCCAAAUAUCAAUAAUUUUUUUCCUCAAAUAUCAAUAAUUUUUUUCCUCAAAUAUCAAUUUUCUUUCUAAUUUUAAUGAUUUUCUAAAAAAAAAUAAUAUCAAAUUUCUUCCCAAAUUUCAAUGAUUUCUUAAAAUGAAGAUAAUUUGAUUUCCUAAAAGUAAAAUAAUUUUUUAAAACUAGAAAAAAAACUCAUCUAAGAUAUAACCCUAACUUAUUUUCUAGCUCUGUUUGUUAUCUAACAAAACUUUUUUAAAAAGUGCAACAAAAUCGAUAAUCCAAACUUCCACUCCCUCAACAAUAUUCAAUGAAAAAGGUAUUAUUCUUUUUUUUUUUUUUUUUGUAUACAAAUAUAGUGAAUGUUAUUGGAGCAUGAGUGAAAUGUUGAGAUAUUUUUUUUAACAUUUUUAGUGUAUUUAUUAUAUAGUGUCUGAUGUCUCCCCUAUGUAAAAUUUCUGGAUCCACCACCGCUUUCAUGCUAUAACUAACAACGAAAUUCAUUUAAAAUUCAUUAUGGAUUGAAAUCCCUAAAAAUGGACAGGUUCCAAACAAAACAUAAAAGGAAAAAAAGACCACACAUACAUAGAUUUUUUAAUUAUGAGUUGUUUGUUUUUAGAAUUGAUUUUUUUAUUUAUGAUUAUUUAAUUAAUAUAAAAAAUAAAAUUAUCAUUAACUAUUUAUAAUAUUUUUAAAUUCUCAAACACAACUUAUUUUGGGUCAUUUGGAUGGGAGGAAAUUGGAAUGGGAAUGAGUAUGAGAUAAACAUGUCCUUGCUUGGUUCAGGGUUGUGUAGUUUAGGCAUGGUACAUGCUUCGUUUAUGUUCAUGUAACGUCCUAGGCCUAAGAUUGGGACCAAGAUUUGGAAUUCGAAUCUCCGACAUUCCCUUACAUCCCCUGGGACCUGACAGUAUCAUCCUUACUAUUCUUAAAGGCUUAUUAAAGUGAAAGUUCUCUUCAUGAACCAAUAAAAACACAAUAUUAAAACUUUGAAAAAAAAAAAAAAACUAUAAUUUUGAAUCACUCUUAAAUAGAUCAUAAAAAGAGGUUCGAAAAACGCAAUUAUCUAUCGAAUCCAUAAACAAGUUAGUUAUAGCUAUACUAAUUUUGAAUCAUAUCGUGUGGGGCAACCUUAUUUUUUCGUGCCAUGAAUGAAUCGGCUUAUUUCUAUAAAAGUUAAUGGUGUUGUCUAAUGUGCUCUCCAAAAAUAAUGCUAAUGAUGAGAGGAAAUUAUAUAAAUUGUUUGGUUCUUCCAUUCUAUCAUAUAAAACAGUCACAUCUCCUAUCUUUGAGCUGUGAACAACUCCAUUGGAUUACAUAUCACAUUCUUACUUUAGGGUUUGACCCCUACGAUACAAUGUAUAUAUAAUAUUAAUAAUGCAACAAGUUAGAGGGAGUUGUGAUACGAAUCAAGAAAUUAGAAUUGAAUCAAAUGAAAUUGAAGAGUUCAAGUUAUUUGGACAUCCAACAAUCAUCCUUUAGAUUCAUUCACAUUUCUAAGGAAUUAUGUAUUUAUUUAAUUUAAUGUGUUAUGUAUUUUCAUUUAUCAUAGUAGUUGAAAGAGCAUAAAAUUAAAUGGUGUGUCUUUUCAUUUAAUAUUUUAAUUAGUAUAAAUAAGGUUGUAGUUUUCACAUCUCUAAUAGCUAUUUAGCGUCGUUCCGAAGACAUGCUUAGAUUAGCACCUCUAUAUAUGUCCCUAGCGAUAAAAUACACUACUAUAUUCCCUAAUGUGAAAGUAUAUUGUUAUUUAAUUUUGUUGUUUGUAUGAAACUUGUUUAUCUAACAUGUAAAUAAUAUGAGAAAAUAAGCAAUCAAUUGAAGAGAUAAUAAAAAGUUAAGUAAAUAAAAAUAAUUAACUACCAUAGAAUCACACAAUUUUAUGUUACAAAAAAAACUUCACCCUAGCUAUUAUAUACUCUUGAGUUUGUAAUCUAACUCACACACUAAAUUGAGGUUUCCUAACUUACAAUUAAACAACUCUUCAUCUCAAACAUCAAACUUUCUAAUGAUGAAUGAUGAUUAAGCAACGUGAGUUAUCCACUCAAAAUUUCCUUAUAAGGAGCCGAACAUGAACAAGAAUUAUUAUACUAAGAAUAAUAAGGAUGAAACAUAGGCGACUUGGCUAUUAAAUCAAACAAGAGGAUGGGCCAAAUUUAUUUUUAACCUAAGCACACAUUGAUUAGAGAAAUACUAAUGCAUUAGAAAAUAGAAUACCAUUUGAUACCUUCUUUUUUCUUUUUCUUUUUUUUCUUUUUUUUGCAAAGUUCUAUUUUGUCACAUUGAAAUACUUUGAUGUCAAUGAUUUAUGCCAUUUGAUUAUUUAACAUAUGCUAUGAUUUAAGAGCAAUAACCAAUUUGAUACUUUUGCUACAUGAAAUACCAAGUUCUCAUAUAAUUUAGUUCUUUUAAGUUUUAAAACCUUAAUGGUUAUACUUUUCACAUCUAAAUUUUGUUUCAAUUUAGAAGAUUUUAGGUUUCAACAUUUGUACUUUCUAACCCUAAUUUUUCAUAAAAACUCUUUUUUUUUUUUUUUUUUUUUUUGUAUGAAUGAUUAUAAAACAAUUAAAAUACUAUAAUGAAUAAUUCAUUUUCACUACUAUUAAAUUAAAUUUAAAAGUUUACUUCCUAAUCGUUUUAAAUUAAUAAAUACUUUUGUGGUUGUCAUUUUAAUUAAAGAAAAGCUACAAAACAUUGGGAGUGCAACAAAAAAAAUAAAAAAAUCUAAAACUAAGAAACCAAAUAAAUCCAUAAUUAUCAUUUGGUUGCAUUUUUAUUUUUAUUUGAAUAACAAUAAAAAAAUUGUUAGAUUAAGAUAGAUUUUUUUAUUAAAAGAAUUAAUAAAAAAUAUAGAACUGACUGUAACCUCUACAAAGCUCAAAUUCCAAAGUUAAAAUUACAGUUCCAGAGUUAAAAUUAGAGCAUCUUGAAACUACGUCAUUAAUUGGUGUAAGUAAUUUGAACGCAAACAAAGUUUUAACUAAAUCUAACUUUUUCAUUUAUUAUUUAAUAUGCAUUUAUCUUCGAGCUUUUUUUUAUAUAUAUAAUUUUAGAUUGACUUUAAAAUAGAUGUUUUCAAAUGUACUCUAAAAUGGAAACUUACCAAAAUCAAUAGCACCAAAAGUGCAUUAUCAAUUGUUUGGUUACUGAAUCCAUUUUCACUUUGUACAAAAAAAAAAUGUGGCCUUUUGGGUAAUAUAGUGAAUACGUCUCUUCUUCUUCUUCUUUUUUUGUGGCAUUUCCAAAAAUAAAAUAAUUAUUUGAAUGAUACUUAUUGACAUCUCUUAAAGAGAAGUUGAAGUAGGAAGCUUAGUUUCUUUUAAAAAAAGUAUGUGGCAUUGUUAAAUAAAAAAGUUUUUAAAAUGAAAAUAAGUACAUAAAAACAAACCAUUUAUAUUAGAAAGUAUGCUUGAGUUAUUGAACCCAUACUUCUCAAUCUAAUUACUCUCUUAUUUUGUAUAUAUUUGGUAGAAUAUUUGAGUGUAUUAAGUGUUCAUGUGUGUUUCAAAUAUAGAUGUAUUUGUGAGCAAUUUAUUUCGCCAACCCCAAGGAAAAAGGACAUUGACGACGUUUCAAAAAAGGAAGUGAAGAGAAUAGUUGACAGGUGGGUUUGUUUUCGAUAUAUUUUUCUCAAAAGAAAAAUAUGUAAAUUUUCAUUUUCAUUUCCAUUGCCUUGGAUUUUACAACACACAACACAUACCGAGAGAUUACUCAACAAACCCACCUCAGGUUCUUCUCUCUCUUUUUCAUUCAACCUUAAUCUUUUGUUGUAGGAAAGAAGAAAAACUUUGAUGAUUUGCAGUAUUUUACAACUUAAAAGUUAAACCAAACCUGGAAAGAGUUUUUUUUGCGGGGUUUUGCAACCAAGACAAAGAAUCUUCUUGAAGAAGAAGAAACAGAACUUUGCUUUCUCUCAACACUCUCUUCUUAUUUUCAGAUAUGUAUUCUUUUAUGAUGAAACUGGAUGAGUUUGACAAUGAUAAAGUACCUAAAGAUGAAAUGCAAGAUGUUGCGCUCUCUCAUGAAGAUCAAAUUAAUCUUCAUUCCAAGGUACUUUAACAUGUUCGUUAGAUUAUGAGUUUAAUGAGAGGAGUUAAUAAAGUUGUUUGUGUUCAUUUUGUUCUAUGUAGAAACUUCAAGAUGAUUUGCAAACAAUGGGGAUGAAAAUACAGGUGCAUGAAGACAACAUAAGGUUUCUGAAGACUUUGAAAGACAAAUUAGUUGAUUCCAUCAUUGAUCUACAGGGUAUUUUGUUUUUUUCUCCUUCUUGAACAAGUAGAUCUUCAAGACAUUUUUAUGUCAUUUCCAUUACUUAGAUAAGUUUCUAUUGCAGUUAUAUUAGAUAAGCAUCAUGCUUCUAAUACACCUAAGAUUGAGAACAAGGAUGGUUCCGAUACUCAAAGUGAAGAUAAGGCAUCAUAUCAGAAAGAGAUAUUACAACAGGAAAAUACUGCUGCUAGCAUCUUGUGCCACUCAAAAACUAAUCCAAAGAUGCUGGCUUCUGAUCCUACAUUGAGUGAUGAUGUGCUUGGUGUUGUUGCUGAGCUAGGACAUGUGGAGGACAAAAACCUUAGCAGGUCUCUUUUGCUUCUCAUCUUUUAAGUAAUCAUCUAGUCUCAUGUUAAUUUUCACUGACAUGCAUUGUUUUGAAACCGACAGACAAAGAAAUUAGAAAACGUAAAGAGUAGAGAAAUUAACUUAGAGAUUUUACCUGGUACAUUAAUAGUAUGUUCGAGGCGGGACCAAUAAAAACUUCAUGCAUAAUUUUUUUUUCUUUGAAAGUGAAGGUUGAUGACAAUGCCAUUAGCCUUGGGGGUGGGAUCAUCUACUGUCCUUGAAUGUAGAGGCAAACAUUAGAUUUGAACAUACUAGGUAAUUCAUUUUAGGGUAUGUUAUCGUUUUAGUUUAUGGUUUUUGUUUGAAAGGGUAUUGGAAGUAUUCAUUACUUGUCUCGUCGUCUUGGUAAAAUCUCUCAAAUUGUCCAUCAUUACUAGAAAUUACAAUUUUGGCACGUGCUUUUGGAUGUGGUAGUGAGACAAUGAGCUCUAAUAUUCAGUACUUAGUAUACCAUGUCCAAGUAAAUUAUUAACAACCGCGUUACACGAGACUUAACCAAACUAUAGGGGCCAAAUUUAAAAACUUUGCACGAACCACCUGUUCUGCAGUUGUAUAACCUUCAUUUUGUUACUAACAUUUUGCCACUAUCAUCUAGUAAGGUCACAAGUUGAAUUUGAGCUUAAAGAUAGGUGUUUCAUAACACAAGGAUGUGGUUUGUUCUUAGCAAUAGAUUUGUAGAUAUAGACCGUUUAACAAGAGAUGGAUAUUGGGUAUUUUAGUGUUAUUUAGGAGAAUAACUCAUAUUUGAAGAUAGUUAACAAAGAAUGUGACCAUUCUAUACUUUGAUCUAUAUGUUCUUUCUUUUUUGGUUUCUGGUUUGGAUUGCAGCCUUUUAUCAGAGUACCUAGGAACAGAGACCAUGUUGGCUAUUGUCUGCAAGACUUACAAUGGAGUCAAAUCUCUGGAAAAGUAUGACACGGAAGGAUGCAUAAAUGAAACAUCCGGGCUUCAUGGAUUUGGCACUUCACUCGGGAAAACUUUAGAGGGACGAUUCAAUGUCAUCUCUCUCGAAACGUUAAGGUAUUCAUUUCUUUCUUUCUGACAUGGGGCGGUUAUUUGGACAUUCUAGCACAUAAAUAUUGUGGAACUCUUCUCUUACUGAGAACUCAACACACUCUUUUGGUUUCUUUUGCCUGUGCAGAUCAUAUUCUGGUGAAUUUGUGGCCAAUGAUCCGCAAAGAAGGCUUCAUAUUCCAAAGCCAAGAUUGCCUAAUGGAGACUGUCCAGCCGGUUUUCUUGGUUAUGCUGUUAAUAUGAUUGACAUAGACAGAACACACUUGUUUUUUCUCACAGCUAGUGGAUAUGGUCUUAGAGAGACUCUAUUUUAUUCUCUAUUUUUCUGCCUGCAAAUCUAUAAAACUAGGACAGAAAUGUUGCAAGCUGUUCCCUUUAUAACCGACGGAGCGCUUUCUUUGGAUGGCGGGAUUAUCAAGAGGAGUGGAUUGUUUUGUCUUGGCAAUAGGUACGAAGCACAUCUUGACAAUCUCAAUGAUUAGUCAGUUAUGGAUUCAAAUCUCUACCUGGGGGGACGUGGUCCUUGUCCAAGCACUUGGGUUUCUCUGUUUAUGGUAUAUUUACUUUUAUGCCUGCUAAACAUGUUAGGGGCGACACGAAGGUGACCUUUUCCAAGACCUCAAUAGAUUUAAGCCUACCUGACCAGUACAUGGAAUCUGAAAGACAAAUGAAAGAAAUGAAAUGGAAAGAGGAAAAAAUGCUUGAAGAUAUGAGGAGAGAACAGGUGCUGCUAGAUACCUUGAAGCUCAACUUCGAAAAAAAGAAGGCAGAGUUUGUGCAGUUUCUAGCAGAAGCUGCUGCUCGGGUAAGCACCAAUCCAACUAACAAACAUGACAUAAACUAUGAAAAAUGGCCUUUGCAUUUAACAUUAAUUUGCAACAUCCUAGCUUCGGUCUUUUGAUUUUGUUUGGCAUCAUUUACUUUCCUUUUUGCUUCCUUGUACCGAAAUCUUGUUCAUGUGACAUGGCCAUCAUUAAACUGUUGAAUGAGUUGGUCCAGAAUGAACUGUGUUCUAAACAAACCGUCACUAGUCUUUGUCAUGAAUGUGCUAUUGUCUCUUUUGAACUUGUAUGAGUAUUUUACAAGGUCUGUUAGUUCAAUAUGGCCAUUGUCAUGUAUUCUUCAGUUUUCUAACUUGUAUAUUGUUCAUUAAACUAAGUAAUUUCUUACACACUGGCAGCCACAAACUCCAGUCGGGGAGACUAGUCGAUAGAUGAUUCCAGACAGAGAAUCAACCAACCAUCGAAGGGAUGGCUAAUUGGCUACAUGUUUUGGAAGUUUCAGGGUUGAUGCUCGUUGUUGUCGAUCACGUUUCACACACGAUGGAAUUGUUUUGUUGUAUGAUAUGCAUCAGUGUUGGAUAGGUGAUGGCUUAUUCUGGGGGGGUUUGAAGGAAAUAGGAAUAUUUUGCAAUACCAAGUUUGUGUUGUGUAUGACGCUUCCUCUGACAGCUCUAUGAUGGUUGCCAUUUCUUUCAUCCUCUUUCUCUCUUGCUUUGCUUACCUUCCUGUUUUAUGGGCCAUUUAUCUGUUGACAAAAUGGUGGAUGUAUUCUGCAUGUUUACUUCGACCCUGGAUUCAAAGUUGGAUUCUCAGCCAAGCUCGAGAGUAUAUGCCUUAACCGUUGUUUUACAAUUGCAAUCCGGUAAUGUCUAGGCGUCGUUUCCUGAAUAAAAGUGAUGUUACAAAGUAACCAAACUUUGAAGUUUAGUUUUACAAAUUCAUAUAAAACAUAUAGGAAAAAGCAGGGUUCGAAAUUUAGUUUAUUAACACAUUUCUAACAAAUUUAGUUUCUGUUUCAACUCCUAGUUUGUCACCUAUUGGUUGUGGGCGGUAGGCAACGAAGAAGAUACGAUGAUCUACGGGCACAAUCCAUGUCAUUCAACAUGGAAUGUUACUGCCACUAUUAUUGUGGCUAAAUAUGUCUUUCAAGUCUUCUAGUUCUUUGUUCGGUUGCUUUGUUUUGGGUUGGGUUAGAAAAUAAAACAUUUAUAAAAGAAAAGCUGAUUUUUUUGGAUUAAAUUUUCAACAUUUGAAUUUAACCAAAGUUUUGUCGUUGUUUUUAUUGAGAUCAUUUUAUGAAGUGCAACUGCAACCUAUAAUUAUUGUCUAUACUGUACUGUUUGUGAUUGAGUCUUUGUUAAUAGGCAUUGUAUAUAUGUAUUGAUUAUGAAUAGACUAAAAGAGUGAGGAAAAAUUCUAUAAAAUUAAACUAAUAAAUUACACAAACUCAAAUUUAAGUCUAACUUACAAUGUUGUGAAAUCAAUAGUGUGCAUCAAAAGGGACAACUUAUAAGUUUUUUAAAACUAAAGUUUGGAUUUUGUAUGUAUUGAUUAUUAAUAGAGUAAAAGAGUGAGAAAAACUAUUACAGUAAUCCAAUAACAUUUCAAGUUAAUUUAUUAAAUUAUAAACAAUAAAUAAAUAUGGAAUGUAUGGUUGUCGUUUUAAUUACAAUAACUUUCAACACCUCUAAAACUUCUUCAUUUAUAUCUUUUAACUCCCUUUGAAAUGAAAUUCCAAGUAUUUUGAAAAGGUUUCAAAUCUUCUAUUAGAAUGUUAGUCAUCAAACUUGCAAAUUUAGCACAAUGUAUUAGUAACCAUAUAAUAGUUUAAAUAAAAUCUAAAAUUUGUUUAAGACAUAGUUUUUUAAUUUUAAGAUGGUAAGAAUGUAAAAACAAGAUUCUUACUUUGUCGAAAAAUCAAGACUACAAUCAUAUAUCUUGGUACUGCAAAUUAAAAAUUUUAAAGAAUUUUUCAAUUUAAUUAAAAAAGCAAAAUACAUAAUAAGAAAUAAUCUCUAUACACUUAACUCAAAACACUAAAUCAAAUCACUUAUUGCUGUAUAAUAAUUAUAUAUAUAGAAAAAGAGCUUAGAAUUCUUGAGUUUGGAUUUCACAAUUGACAUCAUUUCAAUUUUAUGUACCCUUACAUGUGUUCUUCAAGUCUUUCUUUAAAUUCUAAAGUAUUAACCUAUUACAAUUACGAUACAAAAAUAUAUAUCAAUAUAAAUGAAGUAAUAGACUAAACAAAACAUAGUGAGUAAAAAGACCUAAGAAAACAAACCUAAUUAAGUAGAAGAGAGUUCAAAUGUUUAGAAAAAGAGACCGAAGAGAGUUCUUUAUUUCAUGGUAGAAGAUAAAAGUUACAAAACCUUUUGAAAUCUUAUAGUUAAUAUAUAUUUAUCAAAUUUUGAAAAUUAAAUUAUAGAAAUGAAGAGAUAACUUUUCAUAUUCUAACAUUUUGAUCUCUUAUAUAAUAAAUUAAGAGUGAAUGUGAGAAUUUGAAAAGAUUAUAAAUGGUUAAUGAUAAUUAUAAAUUAAAUAAUCAUAAAUAAAAAAAUCAAUUAAAUUUGGUUGGUAUUGUAAAUUUAGAAUUUGGCAAGGGAUAGAAUUGUCCAAAAAUGAUUCUCUCCUUAAGCCACUUUUAAGGAUACGUUAUAAGUUCUUUAAAUUAUUUAAAAAAAUUAAUUUGUAGUACAUAAUGUUGAAUUCUCGAGAAAACCACAAUCUUAUUUUACUUUCUUGCCAGCUUAAAAUAAUUAUGUCUUAGCUAGAUAACUAGUUGUUACUAUUAUUUUUCAAAUUAUAAUUGCAAAAUUUUCAAUAUGUCCCCUUCACUAUUUUUCUAAUAGUUCGAGUGACAUGUCAAAUAUAAAAUAAAAUUUCAUCUCAUAUUCUACAAAUAACAAAUAAUAAAAGUCGUAGUUAUAUGACAUAGAUUGACGUGUGACAACUAGCAUGAGCAGUUGACGGUACUUUUGUGGUUGGGCAUAUGUGAGUUUAGGAAGACACGAUUUAGGUGUUUCAAAACCGAGUGCAACUCCCAAUUUCUUCAUUCUUUAAUAUGUUGAAACCUUAAAGAAAAGAAAAGAAACAAUUUAUAGUCAUCUUGACGUUGAUAGGAUUGAAAAUGUGUUAUUUUAUCUCACUUAAUUUAGGAUCAUUCCAUGAUUUUAUGUUUUUAUUUGUCUGGGAGGCCUCCAACAAUUUAAGGAUAGAAUAAAUUUGAUGUGAUGUUGAUAUGAUGCAAAAUUGAAGUUCAUAGCAUUAUUUGAGGAAAGAACAAGCCAAUUUUGGCCUUUUUCUUGUAUCAUCGUGGUGAACUAUGGUGUCGUGCGGGGCGUUGUAAGGCAAUAGCCUUGUAGUUCACCUGCUCACUCCAAACUUAUUCCACACAUUAAUCUUCGUCAACUUCACCCUGUUGUCACGUUUUAUUUAAAUAUUUCUUUUGUCGUCUAGGUAAGUUUAUGUUCGAUUUCAACCACUCCAUCUAUAACGUUUCAAAAUUUAGAUAAAUUUAAUUUAAUUAUGUUUGAGUUUAUUGAGUGUUAUUUUGAGUUAUUUGAAAGAGAAUCGUUUUGUUAUAUUGAAAUUAGAAUUUAUUGAAUAUUCGUUUGAAUGAGUAUUUAAUUAAUUAGUGGAUUUUGGUGUUGGUAGAACUAUGGUUAAUUGUAUAUAUAUAUAAUUAUUAUAGAAAAUGAUAAAGAUAAUUUUAUUUGUGGACAAUUAAUUAUUAUGAAAGAUAACUAAUUAUUUUAAGAAAAGAUAAAUAUUGAUCAAGUAGAGAGGUUGAUAUGAUUGGGUAAAUGAGGAAAGAGAAUGAAUAAGAUUUAUUUAAAAAGAAAAUUGAUAAUUAGGUAUUGGAUAUCAUUACUAAGAAAAAUGUAACAUUCCAAAUUUUUAUGGAUCUUUUAUUGAUUAUUUUAAAUUAUUUGGGAGUUAUCUUUAAGGUUUGAAGUUAAAAUUGAAAUAUUGAAUUAAGAUCAUUCACGAUCAAAUUUAUGAAAUUUUAAAAUAAUUAAUUUAUGGGAGAAGAUUUGGUUAAUGAAAAGAUUUUGGUGAAAUGUGAUAUUGAUUAUUUGGUUUUGUAUAAAUAACUAAUAUGAAAAAGUAAAAAGAUAAUUAUAUGAUAGGAUAUAAUUGUAAAUUGUUAGAAAAUAACAUAAUUAAUGAUAGGAGAUGAUUGAUUUGAUUGGAUGGAAAAAAUAAUGGAUUUAAUUAGGCUAUGAAAUAAGGAUUUAAAUAAAUAUAUAUGUUUAUCCCUAAAAUUGUGUAUAUUUAAGGAAUUGUAAAUCAAAUGGAAAUAAUAAUGAUAAAUAUUAUUUUUAUUACGUGAGUUUAUAAAUAGGACUUAAAUGCAUAAGUAUACGUGUUUAUGCUUGUUUAUGGGAUCACUCACAUGACUAGGAGUGUUCCUACGGGACCACUUGCAUGAUUAGGGGCGUACAUAUGAAUCACAUGCACGGUUAGGGAACAAUUAUACUAUAUAUACGGGGUCAUUUGCACAACUAGUGGUGUUUCGAUGGAAUCACUCGCACGAUUAGGGGUGUACCUAUGUAUCACAUAUAUGUUUAUGGAGUGUGCACUUGCGAUCACUUGUAGGACGAGAGAUGUUUCCUUCGGGGUCACUUGCAUGAUUUAGGAGUUGUUCGUACGGUCUUACUGGCCUAGGUGUGCUCCAUUGGACACACGACGUAAUGAUUAUGUUUCGAACGAAAAGUUAACAAAUCACCUAGCGAGACCAAUAGUAAGUCCCUUACUGGGUAUAUUUUAUAUACUCACUUUUUUCUAUAUUUAAUUUUUCAGACAAAGUUAGAAGAUCUGAAAAGUUGGCGAGCGAUAGGAAGAGUCUGUGGCAUGCCAUAUGUGGACUCAGUUUUCCUUUCGCGUCUAUGUAUUAGUUUUCAGUAUUUUAUUUUUUGACAUUUUAAAUUAAUUUUUUAUCCUAUUUAUUUUAUUUUAUUUUUUAAAAGAAUUGUUAAAACGUCAUGCUUUUAAAUUAUUUUUUUAUUGAUUAUAUGUCUUUCGAACAUUUAUUUGAUAUUAAUUUUAUAAAAAUUUAGUUUUCCUUUUUUCAAGAAAUGUAUUUUGAUAUUUAUCUUUUGAGUAACGACUUUAGCUUAGCUUAAAAGUUUAAGUCGUUACACUAACCUACAAUUCUCUUAUUCUACUCUCAUUUAGGUUAUGUUUAUGUGCUUCAACAUUUUCUCAUUGCUCAGCACGUGAAGAGUGGGCUAAUGGCCUAAGGUACUCUUUUCUAGCUUAAGUCUUAGGAGUUUUUCAUUAUUUCAUGCUUUUGUGAGAUUUCGUACUUACAAUUUUGUAUUGCUUGGUUUAAUUUUGUAUUCAAAAUUAUAUUUAAUCACAUUGUUGGACGCUUGGGGAUUGUAGAUUAAGUAAGCUUGCAAAUGAUGAUGUUUAGUAUUGAUCUAAUCAACUUAGGAUUGAACCCAACAAAUAGAUAACUAAGUGAUAUAUGAAAACUCUAUGAUCUAAUAAUUAGAAAUCCAAUUGGAUGAAUCUCCGAUGUCAAAUUCUAAACCCCCAAAUCAAUUUGACAACAACUCAGGAAAUGAGUUAGAUUUGAAUUAUUCUUUAUUUUUGACCAAGAGAUAAGGAGAUCUAAUUCCUCACUUCAAGUUCGAACCACAAGCAAGAUGAUCAAACUUAUCGAAAUGUUCUUGAUAUGUAGUUCCGAAAAUCAAGAAUUAAAAAAAAUGGUGAUGAGACUAUGUUAUCUAUCGGGGAUUAUUAAUAGAAAAGCUCUAAACUUCAAAUUUCAAAACUUACUUUACACAACCUAAAAGCAAGACUUAAAUAGCCUCUCACUAAAAUUCUAAUGUAUUAUGAAAAGACUAAAAUAACUCUACUUAAAUGUUACUAAAAAUAUUAAAACUGAAAAAUAUCAUCCUCUUCUUCUUUUGAAGGAUUAUAUAUAUAUAUAUUUAUGAGGUUUUAUCAAAUUAUAGGUUAAACUCUAAUUUUCUCCAAACAAUAUUGACUUACAAUUGCAAUUUAAUUAAAUUUAUAAACAUAAAUUAUACUUAUAAUUAAAUUAAUGAUAGUUCAUUAUCAACUAAAUCUUAGUGAAUAAGUAAGACGAGUUUUAUGAUUUAUAAAUAUGUAGAGUAAAACACAUUUAAACAUUUUUGUAAAACUAGAAUCCAAAAUUUGAAUUUGCCACCAAACAUAUUUGAAAAUAUAAAAUACAACUAUAUAUGUUUUCGAAUUUCUGUAUUCAAAUUCUCUACCAAACAUGUCGUAAUUAACACUAGGAAUUGAAUGACUUCUCAUCCUUUUGCAUUAAAUUGAUUUGUUAAUGAGAAAAAAUUAAUUAGUUUUGAAUAAUUUGAUUUGUUAAACUGAUUUCUCUAAUUAAUUUGGUCAGAGGAAGUGUUCGAUAGUUAUUAGCAAUGACAAAUCCAUGCGAUCAAAUGUUUUGAAUAGGAGAACUCGAAAACAACCUAAGCUAGAGUCUUUUAAUUAUUGAAUUUGUUCAAAUUUUCUUUACUUGCAAAUUUACAUUUUUUUGCAAUUGAAGUCGAUCUUAACACUCUAUAUUAGUAAUUACCUCAUGUUGAAGCUAUUUACUAAACAAAACUCAUACUUCCUUCAUUCGACUCAAACUUACAAUUAAAAUAUCCAUUCGAUCAGAUGUUUAUUUCUUAUAAAGUAAAUUAGGGUUCAAUUUAAUAAGAAUUUGAAACUUUUUUUAACUAAACGACGCUACGAUCUUGUUUUGUAACUAUAUAUUUUUCUUUUUGUUUUUGUUUUUGAAAAUUAAGCUACUUUUAUCUUAACUUUUUUCAUUUGUUAUCGACAUUUAAAAUAGGCUUAGUUGUAGAAGCAAAAACAAAAAAAAUGAAAGGGUUCAUAAGACCUAAAUGAAAUACACAGUUCAGUAUUAAAAGAUUGGAUUAUAAUUUAAAACAGUUGCAAACUAAUUGUAGUUAGUAACUAAAUAUUACUUGAUAAUAAAUUAUUAUUAAUUUAUUUAUGAACAUAUUUUAAGUUAAAAGUUGUAUAACUAUUAUCUUGUAAUAUUAUGUAAUUUAUAGAAGAAAAAACUGAAUUAAAAGAACUCCAUGCCACCUUUUCUCUACCCACAAAAAACAAUAUUUUAUUGUUUUUUUUAGAAAAAUACAAGUGCUACGCAUGACAUUUAUUUUCAAAGUCAAGUUUAAGUCUUACCUAACAAAUCUCCCAGAAUUCUAUGUGGUUUGAUAAAAGUUUUCAUAGAAAAUAGUAUCUAUUGAAGGAUUUAACAAACCAUAGGGGCAAUAUUUGAAAUUAACUUUUAAAUUUUAACUUUAUCCAAAUAUCUAACUUUGAGUUUAACUUAAUUUAAUAUGUAAUAUAUUAUAUAAUGGGACGUUUGCAAAAAUAGCAAAAAAAAAAAAAACUUUAUGAUAAUUAAGUCUAUGUCACUCCAUUUUCUAUAUUGUAAAAGUAGCAAAUUUAAAAGAUGAUAAUCCUAUGAUAUUUCUAUCAUAGUUGUCUGAUAUCAUUAGUUUUCUCAUAUUUCCAAUAUUCAAAAUAUAAAUAUCAUAAACUACUUUUUUCUAAAUGUUUUUUUUAUGUCAUAUGACUAAUUUUUCUUGCAUAAAAUUUUAAAAUAUUUAAAUUGAAUUUAUAACGUGAUAUACUAUAUUUAAUAGUAUAUUUUUAUUUAAUAUAAUUCUACCUUUUAAAUUUUAAAAUUCAAAUAUUGCAAAUGUAUUACAAGUACUUUAUGGGGGCAUACGGGACUUUCGCUUUCAUGUUCAAACUCUUCCCUUCAAUUUCUCAUUCCUUACACUUUUUAUUGUCAUUCCUACCAUGGUUCUUAAUUGAUACGAAAAGGAAUUGAAUUAGGGGCCCAGAAAAUGUAGUUAAUCAAUUAGUUAAAUAUUUCAUUCAAAAUUAUCAUAAAACUCAAUUUAUGGUACACGAGGUUAUCCAAUUCGCAAAGUGUUACCAUUGAAACGAGAGAAAAAAAUAUAAAUAACUUGAACACAUACGUACCUAAGUCUUUCAAAGUUUUAACUCCUGAACGUAGAGAUUUACAAUUUUCAAGCUCUAAACCUCCCUCAAAUGUGCCUCCACACGUUUGAUUCUCAUACUUUUAAUUCCAAACCUGGGAGCAUAAUCAAAGCCACCACUAAAGAUAGAGAGAGGUGUUUAUACUUUAAUCUUUCUUAUAUAUAUAAUUAUCUUAAACGACAUAUGUAUUUGUGUUAUUUUUAAAUCAUAUUUUACAUUUAUGAAGCAUUAUCUAAUAAAUUGAAUAUUACUUAAAGGUUUAAUUACCAAAAUAAUGUUAUUUUAAAACUAUUUACUAAAAUAUUACAAUUUCAAAAUUAUUUACGAAAACAUUUCUAUUUUUUUCUCUCUAUUGGGUGAAGACUCGCCCAAUUGCUUCUUUUCCUCUUCUUAAGACUUGUUCAAUGUUUUUUAUUUUUAGUUUUUUAUAUAGAUUUUAUUGCUUUUUUUUUUUAAAAUUGUUCGUAUACAUUUUUCUUCUUCUUUCUUUUUAUUUAUUUUUCAUAUAAAUUUUAUACUUUUUCUUAAUUUUUUUAUAUAAUUUUUUCUUAAAAUCUAAAUUCUACUCCUUUAAAAAAUUUGAAUUAAACACGCAUAAUGUUAAUACUUUUUUAAAAUUUCACUAAAAUCUAUUGGGAUGCUCUAAAAAGAAUUAAAAUUUUUAAAAAAUUACCAAAUUUCAAGAGUGAUUGUAUAAUAAAAAAACACACAUGAAUAAUGUAAAUAAAUAUUUUUCGUUAUAAUUCAAAAUUUCAAGAGUAUAAUAUUAGUAUAACUUAACCAAAUAAAUACAACAAAUAAUAAUGUUAAUAAUUUUUUUAGAAUUUUUAAAAAUCUUUUAGUAUAUUCUAAACAAAAGUAAGACUUUCUGUAAAAUAAAUAAACAAAUAUAAUAGAUAAGGUUUCACACGUACGGGUGGAUUCAAAAUAAAUAAAUUCUGAGUAUUUAAUUUAACAAUAUAAAUUAUAUAAAAGUAUAAAAUUAUAAGUAAUUAUGUUUAUUCGACCGAAAAUAAUCAAGUGUAGUAAAUUUGUUCGUUAAAAGUGUAUAACAUUAUUUAUUUAUUUGUUAAAUUUGGUUGGACACAUGACUUUAUAGAAAUAUUGCUAAUUUGUUCUUAACAUUUCUCUUUCUAAUAAAUAUAGUUCCCUUUCCUUUUAUUUUUUUAAGAGGAAAGAAUGUGAUUUGUAUUUUUUCAAAUGAUCAAUUUAAUAAAUCAAAUAAAAUAAAAUUACAAUAUUAAAAUUAAUAAAGCAUAAAUUUGGAGAUUCAACUUUCCAUUUAUAUUUCUAAAACAAAAAGAAAGUAUGAAUCAAUCACAUAUAGAAUAACUUAUAUAUAUAUUAAUUACUAAUAGUUUUGUUAUAGGUUUUUUUGGAAUCUUAUUCACCUAAAACUAUUAUGAUUAUUUUAAAUAAAUGAGUAGAAGUUAACUUCAAAUAACUAGACAUAUUUAAUAUAGCAUUUCACAAAAGUUAAAAACAUCAGCCUAAAAAAUUAAAAACAAAAUAUGACUAUAUUUGGUUUAUUGAUUGUAUAGAGAUUAAAAUUUAAUAUUUUAAAAGUACAUAUACUAUACUAACACUCAUUGAUAUCCAAUAUUCAAAACUAUAAUUGCAACGACAUUAGUGAGAUAUAAUAGAUAACUUUUAGUGAUAACAGUAGUUAGAAAGAUAAAAGCUUAAAAUUUCUAAUUUUGACCAUUUGCAAGGUUAAAAAAUUACACAUCCAAUUUUAUUAUUUUUUAAGUUUCACGGUAUCAAAUUUUCAAAUGCAUAAAGAAUCAUAUUUUGUUUCGUUUUAAAUGAAAAAGGGUUGGAGACUGGAUAGGUAGUGCGAAUAAGAAUACAUGUAAUGAUCAAACAUUUUAAACAACGAAAAAAUAAGUUUUAGAAUAAAAUACUAAUACAAUUGAUUCGGUUGAUAAAAAAACUUACAAAUUGAAGGACAAUUCUACUAUUAUCUUUCAAUUUGUUUUUUCGAUUGCCAAUCCAUGAGAACGGAACUACACAAAAAGUAAAUAACAUGACAAUGUAAUAUUGUUUGUUAUAUAUACAUGACAUAAAAAGAGAAAAAUAGACUUGUUCAUCAUUUUUUCGAACCGCCACAAAAUAUACAAAUAUAAAAUAAAAACGUGGUAAUGCGAAGAUAUAACUGAGAUUAAGAAGAUUUUUAUAUACAAAGUGGGGAUUUUCCAUAUCUUCAAGUUUAAAAUCAUACUUUUUGUUUAGAAUACCAAAUUAAUUUAACAAAAUUUUAAUUAGUAGAAUUUAGUUCUUUUAAAAAAUUAAUUUAAAAUUUAUAUGAAAAAAUUUAAGAAAAAUAUAAAAAUUUAUACGAAAAAGAAGAAGAAUGUAUACCAACAAUUAAACAAAAGAGAAGCAAUAAAAUUUAUAUAUAAAAAAAACUAAAUAGCAAAAUAGCAAUAUUUUCGUAAAUAGUUUUGAAACUUCAAUAUUUUGAUAAAUAGUUUUAGAAAAAACACUACUUUGAUAAUUGAUCCAUGAUUAAUAUAUUAUUGCUAAUUAUUAUAAGUUUAAAAUAAAACAAAAGAUAAUUGAAAGUUGUUUUAGUAGUAAAUAAAUCACGAGUUUAAAAAAAAGCUAUAGUCACAAAAAAAAAGUUACAUUUUUAACAAAUUCAUACCAAUUUUCAGAAUCUUUUGAACUUUCAUGUAACAAGUUUAUAGACGGAGUUAACCAUUUGUCUAAUAUAUUCAAAUCAAUUGCUUCUUGAUUGAAUUGAGUGAACGGGCUUCCUAUGACUCCAACAAACAAAGUAAAUAGGGAUAACACAAACAUCGGAAAUAGCAUAGUAUUCUCUAUAAUUCAUGACAACAAUUUAUCUAGAAUUUAAUAUCGUAGUGCUUAGCAUCUUUAUAUUUCCAUAAGUGAGUUAUAUUUUUAUUUUUGGAUUGUGAGUUAACAAAAAAAAUUGUAGUAAAUUUUUUUUUUCAAUUUUACAACUCCCCAACCUAUAUGGAUCAAAACUCACAUAUAUCUAAACAACCAUGCUUAGCAUCUUAUCCAUUCAAUACCUCAAAUUCUCUUAUACUAUAUUUUUAGGGUGAAAUUCUCUUACUAAGAGCUCUAAGUUCUUUUUCUUUCUUUCUUCUUUUAUAAACAAAACCUUCUAAGUUUAAAUCUCACCCACCUAGCUACAUAACUGAAUUAUAUUAUAAAAACCAGGUUUUUUUAAUAGAAGAAUGAAGGAAAAUGUGAUCAUAAGAAAUAAAGGGAUUUAGUCGGCAAAAAACAUAAAUAUUUUGUCUGUUUAUAGGUGGAGUUGACUUAGUUUCAAGUCAUGUUUGAACUUUGAGGCCCAACUUAUCUUAUCAUAAAUUCAAAUUAAAUUUGAACUCUAUUUUUUUAAAGAAAAAAAACUAGAUUACAUUUUUAUUUGUUCUCAACACUAAUUCAAUUUUAGUAAUUAUUUUAUAAGUUUACAUUUUUGUCUUGCAUACAAAAUAAUUAAGAAAAGUUGAGUUUCAAAGUUGAGUUUCUUAUUCUCAAUCGACUUAAUCCAAUUUAUUAAUCCAAACAUUGGUUAAGAAUUAGUAAAUAUUAUAGCUCAUUUAUUAUUAAUUAUAUUAAGAAAAACACAUCACUUUUAAUUAAACAUUUAAUAUUAGUCAAAAUGAAUCUUAAAUUAAGAUAAAUGAUUAAAUUAAACUUUUUUCUUCGCCAAACUAAAUUAAAUUAUAUAAGUUAUUCAACUUGAAUAUAACUCAACAAUUUUAUUAUACGUUGAACAUGUUUGAUGAAACGGAAUUAAUGUUUAAACCCUCAUUCUUCACCUUGAUUGUAAUAAAGAAAAGUAUACACUCAUGUUUAAAAUUCAAUCAUCAAAAUAAAUAGUGUAAACUGAAAUUAAUGAUAUAUAUUGUCAUUUUAAUAUAAAUAUAUGUUCUUUUUCUAAAAACAAGUUCUUUAUUUAGAUAUUUUCUCUAGACUAACAAAAUUUCAUAUUUAGAUUUUCACUUGUUUAAAAACAAAUAUUAGAAGUUUCAUGAAAAAAAGUAAAUUAGUUUAAAUAACAACCAGAUCUUGAAAAUAUUUUAAAUAUAGUUCCAUCUAUAGCAAAUCUAUAUAUAUAUAUAUAUAUAUAUAAACUUUACAAAUAAGUGUAAUAAUUAUAACCUUAAUUUUCAAAAUCCAUAAAUGAAGAGUUGAACAGUUAUCCAAUUAGAAACUAAACCUAAUAAAUUGAAUCAAAAUAAAAGUUUUAAUAAUAUUCAUUUGCCAAAAAUGAUUUAAAUGAAUGUUGUUAAAGUUACAUACAUUAAACAAAAGAAGAAAAAUGUUACCUACCUGUUCUGUCACCACCAAGAUAUUGAUAUGUUUGUAACACAUACAUGUGUGUAUUUCAUUCUAAAAAAUUAGAAAUGAAUGAAUGACAUAUAAGAAUAUGGAAUCAAAUAUAAAAAUAACAAUUUACAACUAAAAGAUCAGAUCGGUACAAACAAAAGUAAGAAGAUCAAUACAAUAAUAUUUAAAACUAUAAUUUAGAUAAGAAUUAGAGAAUUGGAAUCAAACCUAAAUUAAAAUUUAUUCAUUAAUUAACUUUAAGAUAAACAUAGAAACCAACAAAGCUUCGAGGCAUUCUAUCCUUAAAAACCGAAGCUUUGAGGUUAAGUACAAUCCACACACCAAAUUCAUCACUAAAAUCACUCUUUUUUUUUCUCUCUUAAUUUUAUCAUCUUGCAAUGUAAUAGAAAAAACAUCUAUCUCACCCCAAUUUUAAAGCUUAAGAGAACAGUGAACACACAACCAAUUUGAACAUAGUUCAACUGGAUUAUCAAAGCAUUAUAGUCGGAGAUUCAAAUCUCGUACUCAGAAAAAACACACCAGAAAAUAAUUUUAAGAAAGAUGAAGAAUUUAUUACAAAAGUCUAUAGCUCUUGCAAAAAAUGAGCAAGAACACACAGCAGAAACCCCAUAUCUCUCCCCCAGCAGAGAUCCCAUAUCUCUCGCCCACCAAUUAAAAGGAGCUUCCAUGAAAAAUAAGAGGAGGUGGCGGUCGUGCGGGAGUAGGCGGAGGAACAUCGACGGUUCUAGCACCGGUGACGAGGUCUCGGAUGAGUCUGCAGAGUAUUUCUUCAGCCAUGAAAGCCGCCAAAGCUGCGGAAUUAACAAGGCUCUCAAAAAUUUGAGCUUUGAUACGACCGCGUUUUGGUGGAAGGGUAGAGAUCUUCCCCUUUGAAGAUGUGGAAGAAGCUGCUGCCAUGGCUGAAGAAGAAGUAAAAAGAGAAGAGCUCGAGAGAAGAAGAAGAAGAAGAGAAGGAGGGAAGAAUAGAAGGACUCCAAAGAUGUGGGGACUUAUAGGGCCAAGGAGAAAAUUUGGGGGUUCUUUUUGGAAAAUAUUGAAUAGUGACACCAACAAAUUAUUUAGGUUUAAUCUAAUUUUUUAUUACGCUUUUUCCUUUUUCUUUUUGCAAAAGUUUGAAAAUUUUCAAAUCUAUCUUUUCAGAUACCUCAAGUAAAUAUUUUUAGAAGUAAAUAAACAUUCAUUUUUAGUUAUUAAAAAAUAGCUCGAGAUUGAUAAAUUUUAUAUUAGAUCUAAGUAAGAAACCAUAUGACUUCAAAUUAUUCUCCUCGUAAAUUUAUUAUUAUCUUUAAUUUACAUGAAAAAUACUAUAUACAUUUAUAUACAUUUAUAUAUAUUUAUGUAUACUAUCUAAUUGUUUUUUUUUUCUUUUUUGAAAAAGGGAAAUUCAAUAACACCUGGCAAAUGAAGCAAAAUGUUACCAUUAUAUAUGAAAAUGAGAAUCACACACACCAAACCCUCUUUUAACUUUUUUUGAAAAAGGAGUGUGAAACAAAAAAAAUCAAAAUAUACAUUUUUAAAAUAUAAAUAUAAAUUUCUUUUUUUACAAUAAUUAGAGUUGGCAUGCAUAAAUAUGAUAAAUCUUGAAAUACAAUCAAGCAUUGGUUUGAUAGAAUUUUAUAUAAGAUAUUCAAAUGCAUGACAUCUUUGAGAAUCUUAGUUGCAGAAAAGGUUUUGUUGAUGAGCAAAUGGAUGUAUUUUUCUGUCUACUUUUCCAAAUAUAUGUGGUAAUUAAAUAGCAAUAUAUUAUUAUAUAAUUUUUAUUUGAAAAGAUUUGAGAUUGAGAGCAAAAAAAAAUUACAAACUAUUUUAUUGGUCACAUCCCACUUUAAAAUUAAUUUAAAACUAAAAAAACUUUCAUUUCAUUCAUCUGAGAUUAGUUUUAAAUUCAGUAUUAGAAAACCAAAUAAAAAAAUAAUCCCACUUAAGAAAGUAAAAACAUACGAAAAAUAUUAUAUUUACCUCUUUGUUAAUUAAGCUAGUUAUAUUUUGAAGAGUUUAUUUCAAAUACACAAAAAUGAAUUAAAAUAUAUAUAAAUAUAACAAAAUACUAUCGUUUAUUCUUAAUAAACUGUGAUAGAUUAUUAUAAAUGUCUAUAUCAUAAUUUGAAUUAUACAUAACCUAUCAUAAUCUAUUUUAUAGAGAUUCAUCAAUCAUAUUCAUAAUUUUGAGGCAGCCAUAAGAAAGAAUAAAAUAAGGGAAAUUGAGUUUACUUUGAUUAUCCAAGUCCACAAGUUUUUCAUUAGAAUAAGGGUUUUGGGUUUUGGUAAUUUGUGAUAUAUAUAUUUUGUAAUGGUGGAAUUUUUAAUUAAAAAAGUAUAGGUUUAACCUCUAUUUUAAUACAAAAGUAAAAGUUAUGAAAUAGAAAAAACGAAAGUAAACAAUAAUUUUUUUCUUUCGGUUUAAGAAAAGGGAAAGAAAAAAUGAAAAAGUACGAAGCUUUAUGGAAGAUUCUUACUUAUCCAGAUUGGUACGACAUUUAUAUGCGUUUUAAUACAAAAUUAUUAAGAUAUUUCUUUUUCCAACUUGGCAUUCUAGAACCAAACAUGAGUCCUUUUCAAAUUGAAAAAAAAAAUAGACAUUAUGUUUUUAAUUGAGUUUGAAAAUAAAAAUGUAUUUUUUAAAAUUCAUUUUUAUUUAACUAGUUUUAGUAUUUUUAUUGACAAUUUUGUUUGGUUUCCUGUAUUAAUUUUUUUUUAUAUAAAUGUAAAAGUACAUCAAAUAAUUUUCCAAUUCAAAUUUAGAGUUUGUGUUAGUAGUGGUUGGAGUUGCCUGUCGAAGGUAGUAGUCGGAAUGCGAAGGGUGGUGGUCAUUGGAGGUGACUGCCAAAGUUGGUUUUCGAUGAUAUUGGUUGGAGUUGGUCAUCAAAAUGUAGUGACCACUAGAGUUGGUGUAGGUGGUCAUCGGAGGCUCUACUAGUGUUGGUUGAUGGCAAUGAUUGUCGAACGUGGUUGGUGGAAACCAUGGAGGGAGUGGACUAAGGACUAGUGAGGAUAUUUUUGAUAAUUUUAUACCGAUUAGGGUGAGAUUAUAUAUUCAAAAAUCAUUUAUUUUAUUUUAUUUAAAAGUGAUUUCAAGUAUUUCUUUCAAACACUCAAACUCCUUUCAAAAGCUAAUUUGAGUUAUUAAUUCUCAUACACUAGCUUUAAAUUAACUUUUUUUCAUAGUUUAGACGAACUAAAAAUUUCAUUAUGAAAUGGCAAACUCACUAUCCCUCCUCGUGUCUUUAUGAACUUUAUUAUCCUCAAAGUGCUAUCAGCAACAUUUUUUAUAUAUAGUGCGAUCAUCGAUCCCCUUCAAAGCUUCAAAAUGUAAUGCUUGUUGAAGUUCUUGAAUCUUAACUUAUUCCAAAAUUGAAAGUAUCUAAUUUUUUAUUCAAAUUUUUGAGAUUAAUUUAAUCAAUUACAAUGACAAAACUGUCAAAAAUAUAUUUUUAACUAUAACAAAAUGUCGAUGUUUACAAAUGGUAGAUCAUGAUAACUAGACUACUACUAUUAGUUUACUAAGAUCUAUCACUUAUAGACGAUGACAUCUUACUAUAUUUAUAAAUUCAAAAUUCUAUUAAUUUGAUAACAGCCUAUCCAAGUUGUACCACCUCUCUUUGGCAAUGAAAUAUUUUGUUUAAGUAAAAUAACAAAUUACAAUAUAAAAAUGAGGGAAGUAUAAAAGUGAACAAGAUGAAGACGAAAAGUCUGCUUGUUUUAAUAAAUGGAAUUAAAGAAAGAAACCAUUUUCAAGAUGCAUGAAAUAAUGAUUUAUUGUAUGUGAGUCAAUGAGUAUAAUUUUCUUCCUUUGUUUUUCGUUUGGUUAGAAUGAUUCUUUUUCUUAACAAUUGAGAACUAUUUAUUGGGAUCUAUUAAAGACAGUUGUGUGUCAUUUGUAGGAGAGAAAGAGAAUUUGAAUGGAUGCAUGGAAGAUAUGAGAUAGGAAAGUAAAAUUGAGAGAGAGACAUGAUCUAAUCAUUUAAUCAAUUGGUAAAGCCUAAUUAAUUUUUCAAUUCAUUUAUCAUAAGUAACUAAUUAAAUAUCGAUCCAAUAGACAAGUCAUAUGCAACACAAUUCAUUAGAACAUUCUAACUAUGACUAAAGACAUAUGCAACACAACGUGUUUUCUUUCCAUUUAAUAAUCAUCAAAAGGAUUCACAUAUCUUUCUUUUUAGGACUAAAGACAAAUCAAAAAGAAAAAUUAAGUUUUAAGAGUAUAUAUGUCGUAUGUGUAUGAGGUAAAAUAAACUACUAAAGAAAACGAGUAUAUAACCCUUGAUCUUCCAAUUCUCUAUAUGCAACACAAUUCACUAUGACAAACAUGAAAAAUGAGACAACAUCAAGUUUUUCGCCUCUAACUUUAGCUUUCUAAUUAAACAAGGAAACUUCAAUUAUUACUAUUAUGUAGGUAAAUAUUUGUAUGUUGUAACAUACAAUAUGUUUUCAAUAAUUAUUAUAUAAAAUUAUGUUGUGAAAUAAAUUUUCUUACAUACAUCUCUAAGUUUAUAAAAUAUAAUUACUAGGCAUAUGCAAUGAUGUCACUAUGUAGUCAUAGUAGCGUUGAUCAUAAUUAUAAAUUUUAAUUUCUUCCAUGUUGUUCUUCUUAAUCCCUUCCAUUAAUCCGUUCGAUCUCAUGGAGAAUUAAAAGUCUCCAAGAAGAGAUUGAUGUGAAAGCAACAACCAAAAUUUGGAUGAAUUAUAGAACAUUUCAUUAGUUUUGCUUUUAUUUACAAAUAGUUUCAAAACAAAUUCUCCUUUUUAUCUAUAUUUAAAAAUGUCCCAUUUUUUUUUUUCAUACAUCCACAUUUUUCUUUAAUAUCUAACAUAUCCCUCUCAUUUCUCUAACUUUUUCCUUCAAUUACAUAUACACAAACAAAUAUUAAUUAUAAAGUAUGUAUGAAUUUCUAUUUACUUUAAACAUAAAAUAAAAGUGGUUAUUAUCAAACAUGAAUAGUGUUUCUUUUGACAAAAUAAAAAAAAAUUAAAAGUGAGAGAAACUAAUUAUAAUUAUAAUUAUUAAAGGAAGGUUUAUCAAAUUAAAAAUAUGUAUACGUAUUGGCUACGAAAUCCCAAUUAAUGUUAUAAUGUUAUUGUUGCCAGAUAUUAUAUACAAACCUUUUCAAACACAAUUUGAUAAUAUUACUCCCAAAAUUCCAAGAUUUAUUCUUUUAUUAUUGUACCAUUUCCAUUCUUACAAAUAAAAUUUAAUAAAUAAAUAAACUCCACAAUUAAUGUCUUUGACUUUUUAUUAUUUGAUGAGAAAUUGCAUCAUACUACAAAAACAUUUAGAAAAAAAUAGUUAAUGACACACAUUUUUUACAUAUUGAAUAUGACAAAUAUGACAAGUAAUUAGUGGUAUCAGAAAACUUUCAUACGACUAUUAAAGAGUUAUUAGAAGACUAUCAGAAUAUUAUCAUAGGAUUAUUAGAAUGUUAUCGUCUUUUUAAUUUGUUGCUUUUACGAUUUAUUAAAUAGAGUGACAUGAGUUCUAUUAUCAUUUUUUUUUUUUUGCUAUUUCUGGACGGUUGUUAUAUAGUUCAAAUUAAAACAUAGUUAUAGCUAUAUCUUAGGCUUUAGCUUCGGUUACAUUACUAAACAAUCAUAAUUUGACAUCAAAUCAUCAUCCAGUCAAUACUAAAUUAAAAAAAAUAGUCGUCCCUCCUAAAAAUUCCACCUAAAAGUUUUCUUUUAUUCUAUUAAAUGUGGUUUGGAAAAAAUAAAUAUCUUCUCUCUUCUUUUAUAGGCCUUCUUUGGAAAGAAAGAAUUUUUUUAGUUUGAAAAAAAAUAGAAAAUUUCAAAUAUAAUAAAAUUGGUAAAAAUAUUUACAAAUAAUAUUACUGCAACUUUCAAUUACAUCAAUAUUUUCAAAAUAAAUUAGAAAGUUUAAGAAUUUUUCUUCUUUUUGGUAAAUUUACCUUAGAACCAAAACAACUUUACUAAGGCACAUGGUCCUUCACUAUGACUUUUCCUAAUUGAUGUUAUUUGGAGAUAUAUAUUCAUAGAUAAAUAUGCUUGAUUAGUUAAAUUAAUCAUAAUGUAUUCCUAAUUCAAUUAACUAAAUGAUCUAUUUUGAAAUCACAAUCAAUGAGGCUGUUGUCAAAAUGUUUUUAAAUUUAAUAUUUAUUGUAUGAGAUAUAAGAUAAGAAUGAUUGAAGUAAUCAUAUAUAUUAUGUUAAAACCUUAAAGAACAAUUUAUAUGUAUUUGUGAAAAACAAUCUUGUGUCCUAGUCAUCAAAGAAACAACAGGUUAUCGCUCGCUUGAGUAUUGAGUUUGAAUACCGUGCAUUGGCUCAUACCUCUGCUGACAUUAUUUGGGUUCAACAACUGUUGAGUGAGUUGGGUAUUUCUCAGUCUCGUACACCGAUCAUAUGGUGUGACAAUAUUAAUGUCAGUGCUCUUGCAUCAAAUCCUAUCCAUCACGCACGGACCAAACACAUUGAGAUUUACAUACAAUUUGUUCGGGAUAAGGUACUUAAUGGCCAACUUGAAAUUCAGUAUGUUCCCUCUACUGAUCAAAUUGCUGAUUGUCUAACAAAAUCACUAUCUCACACUUAAUUUAGUCAUCUUUGUACCAAACUCGGCAUCCUUUCACUCCCCUCUCGUCUGCGAGAGGAUGUUAAGGAAGAAACAGAUACAAAAAUAGCCAGCUCAGCCAAUCCCAUGUGUACCAAUUCAUCAAAAUAAAUAACCACGUUGGAAGAAUUUCAUAACCCUUUAUUUGUUAUCUUUAUGUUAUUUUUUGGCUGAUUAUGAACCUAUAGAAUUUUUCCAUGUGUAUCCUUAUUUACGUCUUCUUUUUAUUUGUUUGCCCUAAUUGAAAGAGUUGUUGUACUAUAAAUAUAGACCAAAGGUCUAUCAUAUCAAUAAGGAAUACAAUACAGAAAUUUUCCAUAAUACUUUUUGUUCUUCAUUGUUGUGCUAUAAAUUUCAAACAAAAUUGAAGCAAUAAGUGAUCGAGCAUUUUCUUAUGGAAUUCAAUCCCUUCAAUUGUGUCAUCCAUCUUUCACUCAAAAAGUGUAACCUUGCAGCAUUUAUUCAUUUUAUAACUCAAGUAUCAAAACUAGCUUGUAUGGCAAACACCACACGUGUGCAUUUCUUCCUAUUUUGUAGGUUACACUCUUUUUCUAUCAAACAAAUUUAAUUAACGUUAUCACAUUAAAUACCAUUUUAGUUUUUGAGACAUGAGAGUCGGAUUUCUCCUUCCUAAAGUUACAAAAUCUUGUAAUUUAACUAAUAUAUAAUAAUUGCAGUUUUGAAGUUGUGAAUAUCUUAUAUGUUGAUCGUUUAUAGUCGAAAAGGAUAAUCCCAAGAGGUUUUUCAAACCCGAAGAGAUAUUUUUCUUUUUUAUCUAUUCGGAUCUCUUCCGUUUCAUCGAUUUUGUCCGGAUCCUCCUUUUCUUCCGAAAAAAGGGAAGGAGAAGUAUCUUCUUCGGUGGAUCCCUCUUGUUCCUAUUAGUUCAUCCUAUUAGCUUGUGGCACAUCCCAAAUAAGUAUCUUACAAAUUGGAUAAUCUAACUAAAUCUCUAAUUGUAUAUAUUUUUUUAUUUCAAAUCGGAUAAUCUAACCAAAUCUCUAAUUGUAUAUUUUUUUUAUUUCAAAUCAAUAAUAAUAAGAUGAAUGAGACUUCAAUUACUAUGUUAUAUUUGCAAAACCAUUCAUUUCUCUCCAAACUCUAUUCUUAUUAACUCUUUCUUUUGUUAAAAUUAUUUUGAUCGUGACUAUUUGUGGUUAAUUUUUUUAGUGUAAAGUUCGGCUGUAGUCCUCGUGAUUCAUGUGCAUCCUUUUGCUUUAAAAGUUCUUUAACACAUUAAGUAUUUUUCUCCAUCUUGUCAAUCUAGAUAAAUAGUAGCACAGGAAGAAUCUCUGGAAAAAGUAAAUGUGUGGAAAGAUUUAAUAAAAGAAACUAAGAGUGUAGCAUUAAUACACACGGUUUCAUUUAAUUAGGAAAAAAGAAAGUGUGGAAAUAUUUAAAAGCAAUCGAGAGUGUAAUUAAGCAUACAAGUAUGACACUAGUUUUUAUUAAAAAUAUAAUAAAGAUAUUUAGAAGCUAUAGAUGAGAAAACAGUGGUAAAUGCAUUGAAUUAGCACACAUAAUUCCAACUAGUCGGGUAUUCUAGUUUGCAUUGGGAUGAGCAUAUAGCAGGCUUUCUUGUGUAAAGACGACUUAAAGAAUAUUUUUUUUAUCAAUGUUGUAGUUGUGAAAGGAUAUUCUCACGAUAUUUUAGCAAACAACUUUUUAUGAUCUUAUCACCCCCACUUUUGAUUCAUUUUGCUUAUUAUUGUUUAUAAAGGUGUAGACAUUAAAACACUCAAAUUCCAACUAUAUGUCAAUCACUUUUUACGUAACCUUCAAGGAAAUUUUGUGAAACGGCUAGAAUCUAACAUUCAUGAAAUUUCAAGUAUCCCAAUGAAUUUGACUUUGGAAUACUUCAAGUAUUACUUGUUGAUGUGUUAAUUUAUACAACACAAAUAGAUUAUAUAACUUGAAUUAAUUGGACAUCAGAAUGCAUGAGUUUUUAUUUUUUUUACAGUAAAAAACAGAUGUUAUGUAGCAAAAAUGAUACAACAUCAGGUCAAAACAAGGACAAAACCAAACGAAAUAAAAAGAUAAAACAAGAACAUCAACUAUAGAGAUUAAUUAUAGAAAAAAAAGAUAGCACACAAAGGAGACAAGAAGAAGAAGCAAUGAUGGUGAAGAAAAUUACAAAAAUUCCAAAGAGGGGAAAAGACAAAGAGAAGAGACAUUCAAAGCAAAACCAAUCAACCAAUUAAGUGAAGUGAAUGAUGAAAAAAAAAAGGACAUCCAACUGUUCUAUCUACUUGUUUAUUUUAACUUUAUAUAAAAGAUGAAUGGAUAUGUUAAAAAGAAAAAUAAAAACUAAAAUUCUAGAGUCAAGAAACAAAUUAAGGAUAGAUUUGAUUUCGAUAGAUCUUAUACAUAACUGAAUUUAAGAAAGUUAUUAGUAGAUUUUGGUAUAAGAACUAAUCUUUUUAAGCUAACUCACUUGAGCUUCAAAAAAAUAGUGGUCUAUCUCUAAGUCUAUUUCUAACGUUUGGUUGGAGUCAAUAAAAGUCAUGGGAAAAAGGUAUUCACUGAAAAAGCUGUAAAGACACAUCUACAUUGCUGUAAGCCAUGGUAAAUUCAGAGGCCUCUUUAAGGCAUAAUAAAUCCAAAGGAUUCUCUAAAUCAUAAUAAAUUUUUAAGGGGUCAUUUGGUUCGAAGCUUUUCUGCAUUGGAAUGAGUACAAACAUUUAAAACUCACGUUUGUUUCACAAUUUUCAAACUUUCGUUGAGAUUAAUUGAUUUUAGGUAUACUUAUUUUUUUCAAACAAUGGUUUUUUAUUCUCUUCCAAAAUUAGGUUUUCUCUUUUCCCUCCAUCUAUUUUAUAUAUAUAUAUAUAUAUAUAAUUUCAUUUGAAAUACAAUUAACUAAUUAAUACUGACUUCAAAAUUUAAUAUAAAGUAUUUACCUAAAUUAGAAAUAAAAAAUUGACAAAUGAAUACAAUUAAUUUUUUAGAAAAAUUAUUAAUUAAUUAACUAACAAUGUAUUAAAUAUAUUUAAUUGAUAAAUUAAGAUUAAAUAAAUUUAGUUAGUAGAAAAUUUUAUUUUUCAAUAAUAAUAAUUGAUGUAUUUUUUAAUAACAAGCAAUUGCUUUUUAAGAUCAGUUUUAAUUUAUAUUACUCCAUUCAUUAAAAACAUGUAAUAUUUAUAAAACCUAUUUUAGUACUUUUUAUUGAUAUAUCAUAACUCCUAUCUAAAUUUUUUUCAUCUUUUAUAUUAUAUUGUAUUAAAAUAUAUUUUCUUAUAGUGUUUAAUUAAAAUUGAUAUUACUAACGAUAAACUUAGUUAAUUAUAAACAUGGUUAAAUAUUAGAUUAUAAUUAAUACUACGUUCUUUAAAUAUAGGUUAUUUUAAUUAUCAGUUCUUUUAAAAAAAAUUAAUUAUCAAUUACUCAAUUUUCAAUACUUAAAAUUAUUAUUGAUUCCCAAUUAAUUAGUUUUAUAUUAACUUUGUAUAAGACUUUUAUUUUUCUUAAUUUCAUAAAUUAAAUUUAAACAUAUUUUUUUGUAAAACAAAAUUCUGAUAGCAUUUCUUUGCACAACCAAACUCACCAAACUCUGUCAUCUUUCAUUCUCAUAUAUCUCAUCUUUUAUUCUCAAACAUCUACAAACUUAAACAAAAACCAUCCUUAAAGAUCUUCAUAAUAAAUAUUUUUCAAAGUUUUCUUCAAUCAGAUGAGAGUGAAUGAACAAAACACUACAGAUUAAUUAUAUAUAUGAAAUGAUGUUCAUUAUGAAUUUAGUGGGAAGGAUAUGGUGGAAUAAGAAUUAUGUUACUUCCAAAAGCUUGUUGUAUACCUUUGGGAGAACAAAAAUUUCAAAGUUUGCUAAUAAUAUAAUUGAUUUUUUUUUUCAUAUAUUCAAAUGUAAUAGAAAGUUAUUUUGAUAAAACACUUAAUAUUGAUAAAAUUUCUCUAUCACUUUUGAUUACCAUCAAUAAUUAACAAUAAUGUUACAAGGGUGGCUAGUACCCUCAACUACAACAAAUAUUGUUGAACAAAGCAGAUCUAGGCAUCACAGCUAGCUCAACUAAUUUGGACAUAUAGAUCAUUAACGAAAGAGGUCGAUGUUUUUUAAUUAGGCUCACAACUCGAACUAUGUUGAACUCAAAUAUAUAACCAAAUUUAAGUUGGUGUUUGUCUCUCGAGAACAUCUCUAGCAUGCGGUGGAACAUGUUGUUGAGGAUCCCAACAAUGAAAAUACAAAGUGAUCAACCUCACAACCUUUUUUUUUUUCUUUUUUAGCCAAUUUGUUUUGUGAUAGAUGGAAUUUUUAUGCUUUUCUAAUAUGAUAUUAGAGCCCAUGAACCUCGUAUGAAUAUUUGGUCUAAAGUUGAGAUCUGUCCAAAAAAUGAUGAAUCCAAAAAUAGUCACUAUCUUGAACGAAAUGAAUAACGAUGCCUUUUUAUGGGAUAUACAUGUUUUGGGGUGAUUAAUAUGGAUAUAGCCUCCAUUUGGAGGUCCAAAUGAAAAAUAAACCAAUUUUUAAGAGUGAAUGAAAAGUGGGUUUUUUGCUAGUAAAUUUACUAAUUCGUUCGUGAAAACCAUUUGCAUGGUUGCAAUUGAAGAAACACUAAUCGAUGCAUGCACAAUGAAUAGUACUCAAUACUCGAUGCUUGAUACUCAAUGCUCUAUGUUUUAUAUUUUAUGAUCUAUGUUAUAUACUAGAUGUUAGAAAAUACUCAAUCAUCUUUCAUAUCGUUCCUUGAUACAAAAUACUUGCUACUAAAUACUUGAUGUUCUAUGGUUUUUUUAUGUUAUAUGUGUUACACUUGAUACUCAAUACUUAAAGACACGACAAAAAGGCUAGAAAUACAAAAAAAAAAAAAAAAAAAAAAAAAAGCAUAAAAAUGGAAAAAGAAAUGCAAAGAAAAAACACUGAAAAAAUUGACGAUGAAGAACGAGAAGAAUAAAAAAGGACAAAGACGACACAAAGAAAAAAAAAAAGAAAGAAAAAAAGUUGCAAAAUGAAGAAAAAAACAUUUAAAGUUAGUGGUAAUUUUAGUGAUGAUAUAAAGAAAAUGCCACUUUUGGUUGAUUUAAAAAAAUACUGAUUUUUUUAUUUGGACCUUUUAUUUUAUGUUACCUAUCCAAAUUUCUCCCUUUAUCUGUAGUUGAUCAACUCUACUAUGAUACAACCAUUCUCAUUCCAUUCUAAAAUAAUUAGAACUAAAUUAGUCUAAGAAAAAAAAUUCGAUAAAAAUAUUUCGUCUCAAACAAUUGAGAUUAAAUUGUUACAAAAUUUAACUAAAAGUUGGACAACAAAUUUUUUAUUAAUAAUCUAACAAAAACUCAACAAACUUAAGGAUGAUAGAUCCAUCUUCAAUGCACCGAGACAAAGAGCAUGGAAGCUAAAUGACAAUACAAAAGCUUAACUUUUCAUAAAAAAAAGAAACUACACUCAUAACAGAAGGAAAGACAAACUUUAACAAUUUUCCUGAAUUCAUAUAUAAUACAGUAGCUGAGAGUAUUAUUUUGGUGAAGGAACAUAGAUCAUCUAUUGCCGGGCGGUGGAGGGGGUCGACUAGGUUGCUCGACCACUGUCGUCGUCACCAUCAUUGGUUCUCUGGUUAAUGAUCUUAUGAUUCUAGUGAUUAAAAAGGAUACUGAGAAGGCUAAUUACCCAUAAAUUUGAUUCAGUAUUUGACCCCUUUUAGUUGAAUAAUUUCUUGGUGGCUCUUCAACUGCCAUUUUCUUUCAACAAGAAUUAAUAAAGGAAAAAAGAAAAAACAGAUAAUAAUAACGUGUGAAGCAAAAAAGGAGGUUGUUAAUUUUGAACUGUGGAUGGGAAGUUUCUCAUUUUGAUUUUUGGUGGAAUGAAAUGUCUGAAGUGAUAUAGGGUUAUGGAACAAAAUCAACUAAUAAAAUAUAUAAAAAACGUAAACUAAAAGAGAAUCAUAUUGACACACUGUUUCAUGUGAUUCACUAAAAAUGUAUUAUCUACGUCUACACGACAGAAAAUAAAUAAUGUAGCUAAUUGAUUGGUGCAAAUAUAUUAGUUAAGAAGUUUAACGGUUUAUUUGACAUGCUAGUACGAAAUUGUAACAAAAGGACCUUUAUAUGAUUUUAUAAACGAAGCUUUUACUCUAGAUAAGGUUGGUCAACACUAUAUACCGAUGUGUGCUCGAUGAUCUUCUUUUGCAGGUCACUCUCAAAUACACUAAUUUAUAUUGUUUUUUGCCACGUAAAAAUUAUGGUUCUCCAAAAUUUGACAUUCAACAAAACCAUUCUCUAUCUUUUGUAAAUGGUGUUCCCACUGGCUUUUGUACUGAAUUGCAUGGUGUAGAGACUUCACCUUUUAACUCUUUGGACAAAAAUAGUUAAUAUAUAAUAAUGUUUCAUUUUGUGGUUCUAAUUAACUCUGUCGCAUGCCAUCUCCUCUUUGCUUUGUCUCUUACAACUUGUGAUGGCAGUCGUCCUUGUAGUAAAGCAGGAAUCUAUGUGUAAGAAAGCCUUACAUUAAACAACACAUCUACUCAACAAUCUUAAUUUUGUUCUCUUCUAGUUUCAAAAAUUUAAAUCAACAUUGGUUUUUAUGUUGGAAUGUCCAUAAAAUGUGUCCCUAACUAGGUGUCUCUAUCACAUUUCAUUUACAUUUCCUAUUUAAUUUGAAUUGUAUAUUAAAAAUGAUGGGUUUACAACUUUGAUUUUGUUAAAAAAGAAAAAGUAAAUUAAACUAGAAACAAAAAGCAGUGGAAAGCACCUUCAAUAGAAGUAGCAAAUUACUUCUUGAAAGAACCUUUGAAAUAUGCAACAUGGAGAAUGGACGACGAGGACUGUGAAGUGUCCUCUCUCCACCUAUAUUGGAAACCAUAAUCACACAUAUCCUCCCAAAAAGCAUAUAUAAUUCAAAAGUGUGCUCAACAAUAGGUGCACACAAAUACUUUAUUUUCCAAAACAAUAUAUGAUAGAGAAGUUGUAAGAAAAACAAUAACCAUUAGAAUUUAUAUAUCUUUUGAAAACUUUUGGAUACGAGAGUGAUCGAUAGGGCGCACAUACAAAUACCUCAACUAAUUAAAUUGAUACAUCAAAUGCUAAAAAGAACAUAUAAUAAAGUCAUCACAAGAUGAUAAUGAGAUACAUGCAUACAAAACAAGUAAAAAGAGUGUCAGAAGAGAUAAGGGCUAUAAUAGUGAUAAAGUGAUAUUUUAUUUCUACACGCCAACUAGAUUUUUCCUAGAUUUUCAAUAGGGAGUUGUGACAUUUGUUCAUAUGAUUUUAUCAAAAACCAAAAAUAGUAUAGAAUUAUUAUCAAGGGGCUUAAUCAAGAUAUUCUUUUUGUUUUUGAAAUUUUUUUAAGAAUUUAAAUGCUUACUUUAGAAAAUAUGAAGAAAAAAACACAAUUUAAUAACAACAUAAUAAACAAUUAAUUUCUAUAAAAUAAUUUUAUAUAUCUUAUACUUUAUGCUUUAGCAUACAUACGUGUGUCCCAAAAAUGGAGUAUUAUGUUUCUUAACCUUUCCAAAUCAAGAAAAUAAUCAUUCAAUAUACUGUAAAACAAUCAUAUCCAAAUCAAAUUAGUCGAAACAAAUAAAUAGAUAAUUUUAGAACAAUACUCUAAGAAAUUUUCAAAAAUUCUAUUUAUCAUCCAUUCACGAAUCAUUUCCAUAGAAAACUUUUCAAAAUAGCAACUAAAAUGACAGCACAUAUUAGUCAUUACAUACUAUAUAUUAUCAGCCGACCUUGAGUUAAAGGUGAGCGCAUAAAAUUCAGCAAUAACUCACAUGCACUCUACCUCUUUAUUUGCUUAUCAUUCAUAUAUAAGGAAAAGUUACACUCUGUUAUAAUAGAAAGGUAGAUUAGCCCAACGCGGCGGUGGAGGGGGUUGAUUAGGUUGCUUGGCCGCCUCGGCCACGCCGGUACCUUGAUCUUCUCUGAUCUCAACCCUAAAAUGGACAAAAUUGGUUUUGUUAUGUUCUUCACAAUGCUUCCUAUGAUUUUGCCCCUAUGAAGAAAUAGUGAGUAAGUUUAUAGUGAAAAAAAAGGUGAAAGUGGUACUCUUGUGUGGGUGCACAUGUACAUGCAUAUACAUACAUAUAUUAUGAAAAAAAUACCUUUUUAAUUAUUACGUUUUGAAAAAUGGAAUAUAUAUAUUUGAUCCUUUAAUUAAAAAACAAAUGUACUCACAUUUAUUAAAAAAAAGUUUAGUACGUACAUUUUCAGUAAUUGAGUUUUUAAAAAUAGAUUUAAAAGAUUGUUUAAGAAUAUAAUUUUUAAAAAAUUCUCUUUAAAAUGUUCAUAUAAUUAUCAAAAGUUAUUAUUUAAAAGAUUUUUAAACUAACUACCCAAAACUAAAAUGUUAUUUUAAAAAAAGAAAUCUAAAAGUAAUUUAGUAUAUUCUUGUAAACAUAUAUCCUAAGUUUACAAACCAAAUAUAAUUAUAUUCUUCAAAAUUUUAAGACCAGAGGGGUAACUCUUUUCUUAACUUAGCAUCACGUUUCUCUCUACAUUUGUCACUUUCUUUGUAACCCGACAUGACCCUAUGGGUCACUGACUCAUUCUCCCACCAUUUUCUUUUAACUUUUACAUUUUCUGGAUGGAAAAGAUAAGAUGCUAUUUCAAACAAACUUGUACUUCCUUCUUUAAGAUAUGUAUUUGAGAUCAUAAUUUAUAAAUUCAAUUCUAAAUUAAAAUGCUGUAAACUAGUUGUAUACUCACUCGUUAAAAUUUAGUUGAUAAUAAAUUAUUUUAUUAAUUUUUUAUGAACAUGUUUUAUGUUUAAAAAUGGUAGAAUUAUUCUUAUGUAGUAUUAUAUAAUUUAUGGAAAACGUUAAAAUUUUGGUCCAUUCUGGUUUGGAAAACCUAAAAAUUUAGGUCUUAUUGGUUUAUAAUAAGAAUUUAAAAGGAUUCUAAGUUUAACCCUUUUUUUUUCUAAAAAAUUGAAUUGAGUUUAUAAUAAAAAUCAAAAUUUUACACUAUACCACAGAAUCUAAAAUGCAAAAGUAGAUUUCAAAAAUAUAAUUAGAAUUUUCUGUCAACAUAACAUACCCUAAAAUUUCAACAAAUUUUAGAAGACCUAGUUUAGUAUUUGGAGAAAAAAAUUUGCAUGAGGAUGAUAAUGUUAAUGUUUAAUUUAAAAUCUUAAAAGUUACAUUGUGUGUUUCCUAGAUAAAAUAAUAAAAACGAAAAGAUUUGACUAGGUGCUAAAAUGUUGAAUAAAUUAAGCUUUUUAGGAAAUUAAGUUUUUUAAACCUUAAUUAAUGAAUAGUGUUUGAAACUAUUUGAGAGAGUUUUUUAAAAAAUAUAGACAAAAUUUGUACAUUUUUCGCAGCAAUUUCGAACCCGAAAAAAACUUAUACUUUAUAUAAUUAUCAUUUUAUAAUCAUAACACAUAAAAUAUAAUUAUCAUUUUAUAAUCGUAACACAUAAAAUACAAUUGAUACAUAAUAAUCUAUGUGAUCAUCAUUAUGGCUUUUCCACCAAUGAUCACUUUAUAAAUAGUUGCACAUAGUUUUAAAAUUUAAGAAUAAUAGAUUUAAACCAACCCCAAUCAAUUUUGUGUGGAUUUUUCGAUAUAAAAAACAAUAGUAAAUUAAUAAAUAAAAACGAGCAUACCAUUAGACUUAACACAUGAAAAAUAAACUAAAGAAAACUUAAUCAAACUUGAGUUUUUGAAGAUUUCUUAAAUACAUUUCGAUUUAUUUAUUUAUUUAUUUUUUAAUCUUUUCCCAUCUUACAGAGUUCUUCAUAUAUUAAAGAAAAAUCAAACAAAAUUAUUUUUAGUGGAAACAUGAAUUUAAUUAUACCUUACACAUCAAUAAAAAAAAAUCAUAAGUUUUCGAUCAAAACUUUGAUUACACAUGUAAUUUGUAUUUUCAUGGUUACACAAUAAAACUAUAACAUUGUAUAAAACAAUAAAUGUCAAAAAUAUUUGAACUAGAUGAUUUUCAUAAAUUAAACUUAGUUAAAGAAACACAUAUCUUGAUUCAUGAAGGGUCCUUCACUUGACUUUCUUUAGAAUUGGUAAUUAGUUUUCUUGAUGGGUAAGAAUGAACUACUUUAAUGAGAGGAUCAAUCCCUAAAGUUUUAUUUAUAGACACCACGUAUUAUAGUGUUUAACAAGGACAUUAUUUUUGUAUUUAAUGGGUCUAAUAAAAUGUCACAUUAAUAAUACUAUUAUAUUUAAAAUAAAUUUAACAUUCUCGACUUAUCCAAAAAAUUCACUUGAAAGGUGGAGAUUCCCCCACCACCGUUUUUUCUAUAUAAAAAAAAAAAAAUCAGAUUUCUCAAAUUUUAAUGGGACGGGGGCGAGGAGUCCCAAAACGAGGACCCUAAAAAAGUCCCUGGUUUGACCCCAUUCCGGGUCAAACUUGGGAUUUUACGACUCUACCGAGAAUUUUGCCAACCCUAAUCUUUGUAAUUUUAAAAUAAUAAUCAUUUAGUUCCUAAACCUAAUAGAUGUAGCAAUUUAGUUCAGGUAAUAUAUAAUUGUAAAGCUGUAAUCUACAUGGUUGAAAACACUAUUAUGAUUUAUUGAAAUUUCUUAUCCAUGAACAUUUGAUAUAAAACGAUGGAAGAACCAAAAUUUAUAUAUAUAAAUUUUAUCAUAGAAACUAUAAAAUUAGUACAAAUCUUAGAGGAUAUGGACUCAAAUUAAAUUAUAGCUUUCUAAAGUUCUAAAAAUUAAACGAUUAGAAAAUUAGUAAAAGCUAAAAGGUAUUUUUAGCAUAAAUAAGUAAAUAAAUAAAAAGUUGAUCACUCUAUUUCUUGAAUUGUCACUUUCUUCCUCUCUCAUAUGGGAAGUGUCUUUGGAUUACUUACAUAGAACAGCUUAUCCUUUAGUAUUUUCUUUCUUAAAAAGGGUAAAAAAAAUAAAAAGAUUAUCAUAAAAAGCAUAAAGAAAAAAUAUAUGCUUUUACAAGAAAUACAUGCAUCAUUAGAUGGUUUGAAUAUAUAUAUAUAGAGAGAGAGAGAAUAAGACAAAGUUGGAAAAUUACAAAAGAAAAAAAAAGUACCAACUUUAUUUAAAUGCCCAAAAAUUGAGGAUAUGAGAUAACCAAUCCUCAAUUUCACCUAAAAGAAAAUUUGAGGUACUAACCCUAAGUACAAAAGAUUGGGAAUUAGAUUCCAUUUCUAAGUUAUUGAAACCCCUAACUAUCAAUAUCAGCAACCAAUUUUAAACCAUAUAGAGAAGAGCAAGAGGUUUAGAAAAGAACACACUAUCUCUAGCUAUCUCAAUUAUCUUUGGAAAAAACAAAGUCAACAUCUAUUUAUUUCUAGUUUUCAUUUUUAAAAAGGUGUGAUAAAAAAUGCAUAUUUAUUGAUUUAACAUCUCAAGUAAAAAUUAAAAACACUAAUGUGUAAAAAAACGAUCACAUAUGGCCAAUCUAAAUUUGGUGAAAGAUAAAGAUGAGAAAGAAAAGGCAAAGGACAAAGUUUUGGAUUAAUUGUCUUCAAAAUCCUAAUCCCUCCAAAAUUAGAAUUAAAGAAAAAAGUUAAUAUUACACACACAUCUAUUAUGUAAAAAAAUAUAUGUCACCUAUACGCACUUUUAUAAAGUGUCGAAUACAAAUUUCUCUAUUCUAAUUUAUAUUUAAAAAAGUAGUGUAAAAAAUAUUUGUGUAACAUCACUACUUUUCCAUACUUAUUUCAUCACAUAUAAAUCUAAAAGUGUAUUCAAAUAUCAAAAGCAAAAAAAAUUACACUCAUCCCAUUCAAACACAAGUAUGUAUGAUAGUGACACACACAACUCUAAAAAAGCAUUUAAACAACAAAAUUUGUCAAACAAAUAUAUGUGUGUAGUGUGUGUAAUUUAAAAAACUUGUUUUCAUUGGUUCACUAUUAUUAUUGUUGUUGUUACCAUUGAAAGGGGUUCCAUAAUUUGAAUCACACUAAGCUUUUGCCAAAUUGUCCAUGAGCUUUAAGAACAUCCAUAUAAUAGAGGUAGAAAUUAAACAAAAAUAAAUUAAAAUAAAGCACACUUUUUAAUUUACAUAUAUAUACAAUAAUAAUUACAUCAUACUAGGAAAUUUUGAUCAUUGAACCAACAAGAAAUUGAGUUCAAAAUUACAGGAAAAAAAAGAAAGAAAGAAAGGAAAAUGAUAACAAUUAAUUUACAGUAGGUAAUAAGGGGAUAAAUUGUUGGCCAACGAAACAAAAUAAAGUAGCUGUUUAAUUUAUUUCACAAAGCAGUGAGGAUUGAGGAAGGGCUAUGCACCGGCACCGGCACCGGCACCGCCGCCACCACCGGCAGGGGGCGGAGGGGGCGGUGGAGCAUGAACCGGCGGAGGAGGAUCCGGGAUGAGUCCAGCAAGUGCGGCGACCACGUAGGACGCUGCAGUGGCUGCUGAUGUGGCCAAAUCCUCACCAAUUUUGGCCAUAAUUCUGCCUCUCCUUGGUGGGUUAUUUGCAGUUGAAGAGGGCAUAUUUCUUCAAACACAAUCCCACAAUAAUAAGUGUGUAAAUCAAGAGAGAGAGAGAGAGUGAAUUUGUAAGUUCUAAGUUCUCUUUUAUAAUAUCAAAUGUGAUAUUUAGAAAUGUUUUUUUUUCUUUUUUUAUAAAGAAGUUAUGUGUCUUUAUCAAAUCUAUUUUAAAAUCUAAAGCAAUAUUAUAUAGAGAGAAAAAUAUCGAAUUUUCCUCUAGAAGUCGGUGUGUGUCAGUGAACUUUUGAAUCUGCAUUUAAUUAUUU